UUUAAGCUUUACUGGUAAAGGAAGACCUCGGGUGACCUUCCGUGCAUUAUUUCUGGAAAGAACAAGCACCUGAGUAGUACCACCGAUCUACUUUCCGUAAGCUAGCUGGAUAUCUUCCUCACAUGAAAGAAUCCAAAGUCCCUGUCGGGAUUGGAACCCCAGUAGUAAGGGGCAAGUGGUUUGAAAUCAACGACCUUAACCACUCAUCCCACGAACUAAAGAUAGUAACAUAGUGGGACGUAAUGGGCCUUUAACAAAUUACCUGUCCUGUAACUAGCUGAUACGGUACGAUGUAUUAAGUAAUACAUGUACAUAUAACUGCGGUUAUUGAUUUAACAUUAACUUUUGACAUUAGUCAUAUAAAUCAAUAUUAAUUUAUAAAAAUCUGGAAACAAACUGUUACUUUAUAAAAUGUAUGUGUGAAGGUUAACGUGCACAUUUGCCUACAUGUCAGGCACUUACAAACAUGCGGCCACACAUGUUUGUAUUAUGUGUGUACGGAUAUUGCAUUCUAGCACGAGUUAUUUGUGAUACUGGAAAUGUUCCAAUUUAUGUAUACCAUCAACGUUCAGUACUGUCACAAGUAUUUUCUUAUUUCUAUGGUGUUGUGAUAUUGCUUACAAUAUUUGCAUUGCUGGCUCCCGGAAACCAGAUCCAUCCAGACGUGGAGGACAUGUUUUAUUUCAAACCAAAAUAUGAUAGAAAAUAAUGUUAACAUUAUAUGCCAAACUUUUCAAUCAUAUUGAUCUUAGCUUUUGCUUGAAUAAGAUUAAUAUCUUUUUUAAUAUUUAAUGGGUUUUAGAAAUAGUUUAAUUAUUUGGUAUUGUUAAAAUCAUUUAAAAAACAUAGAAAUGAUUGUUGUCUGACAACAUGUAAGUCAUGUACACAUUUGUAAAUGAUUUAAAAGGUACAUAAUUAUUUAAUCUUGCGGGAAAAGAACAACUUUCCCUAUACCUUU
Molecule: long non-coding RNA, 958 nt
Organism: Ruditapes philippinarum (Manila clam)
Lineage: Eukaryota; Metazoa; Mollusca; Bivalvia; Venerida; Veneridae
Exons: 3
Source: RefSeq, a predicted model, not a curated record